GCGCUCGCUUCAACAGCACAUAUACUAAAAUUGGAAUGAUAUAGAGAUUAGCAUGGCCCCUGCACAAGGAUGACAUGCAAAUUCGUGAAGCCUUUCCAUAUUUA
This is a small nuclear RNA of Lutra lutra (Eurasian river otter), 104 nucleotides long. The record is from RefSeq and is a predicted model, not a curated record. Lineage: Eukaryota; Metazoa; Chordata; Mammalia; Carnivora; Mustelidae.